UAGAUUUUAAAGUUCACUCUGAUAAAAAAAACUGACCCAAAAAAAAAAGGUUUGAAGUUUUAACGAGCCGCCUUUCAACUCAUUUAGAAAAUUAGAUUAACCAAACGAAAACCCCCAAAUUAUAUGAUCAAAGUUGACCCACUAAAACCGCGACUAGUCCCCUUCGUAACACGGCCAAAGAUGACAACCAACACGGCGGCGCCACCGAGUCAACUCCGAGUCCCAGAAAUCCAACUCAGUCACGGAGGUCGAAGCAUCCCCGUCAUUGGCUUAGGUACUGCUGUGGAUCCUCCGGUAUCGGCAGAAGAUAUGAAGUCAGCGGUGGUGCGGGCCAUCGAGGUGGGCUACCGGCACUUCGAUACGGCCCACAAGUACAAAUCGGAGCAGCCAAUUGGUGACGCAGUCCAGGAGGCUUUGAGUUUGGGGCUCAUUCAAUCCAGAGAUGAACUCUUUAUUACUUCUAAGCUUUGGUGUGGUGAUGCUCAUCCAAAUCUCGUUGUUCCUGGCCUCCAGAAAUCCCUCGGGAAUUUAAAGAUGGAGUGGAUUGACUUGUAUUUGAUACACUGGCCACUAAGCUGUCAACCUGGUAAAAAUGAUUUUCCAAUAAAGGAGGAUGAUUUUCUUCCCAUGGAUUUUCAAGGUGUUUGGGCAGCUAUGGAAGAGUGCAAGAAGCUUGGCCUUGCGAAAUGCAUUGGCGUUAGCAAUUUUUCUUGUAAGAAACUCAAUGAUCUCUUGGCUAUUGCUAAAAUCCCACCAGCUGUUAAUCAAGUGGAGGUUAGCCCAUUUUGGCAACAGAAGAAGUUGGUAGACUUGUGCAAACAAAAUGGCAUUCUGAUAACAGCUUAUUCUCCGUUAGGAGCCAUAGGAACCUUCUACGGAAGCAACAGGAUAUUGGAGUCCGAAGUGCUUCAGGAAAUAGCCAAGUCUAAAGGAAAGUCUAUACCUCAGGUAUGCUUGAGAUGGGCAUAUGAGCAAGGAAUCACUAUAGUGGCAAAGAGUUUCAAUAAAGAGAGAAUGAAAGAAAACCUCAUGAUUUUUGACUGGGAGUUGACUGAAGAAGAUCAUGAAAAAAUCAGGGGAAUCCCUCAGAGCAGAGGGGUCACUGGUUGGCCUUAUUUAUCGAAGAAAGGGCCUUUUAAGACACUUGAAGAACUCUGGGAUGGAGAGCUUUAAUCAUGAUUCAUGACGAUGCUUUAAACAUGGCGGCCUCAAAUGCACCAUGGUCGAGGAUGCAAACCUCGUAUGUUGAGAGAUUUAUUCCAUUACAGUUGAGCUGAAUAACCUCCCGUAUGAGAAAUUAAAAAUUCCCAAUGUAUAUCUCCUGCUGCUGGAAUGGAAGCUAGGAUAGAAGGAAGUUAAAGGACAUGGAAUUGGUCGUGUUGCGUUGAGUUUGUUCGUUAUACAUCUUUCAAGAAUAAUUCACUGAGAAAUGUACCUCUCAUUGUGGAAUCCGGUGGCAAUGCAAUGGCUAAGGCGGGCGCUAGGAAAAUAUGGAAGUGUUGGCUAGCAUGGUUUCGCUUCUUCUGAAUAUGGUGAGACUCCUGUACACCCUGUUUCUUAGUCUGUUCAAUUCAACACUUCAUGCUUCUCUUUCUUCUGUGUUGCUACUUUAGUUUAUGCUUAAAUAAUACAGAGUACGGAGUACUUCUAAUGCAUAGAAUUAUAUAGUGUAACACAAAUUACUACUAGUAAAAUAACUAUGAGAAACCACUAUAAUCUACCCCGGCCAUACCAAAUUACCAAUAUACAGUCAGUUGAGAAGCUGACAGGUCUGAGAGCCAUAUUUGACAAAGACGAGUUUUAAGCAUUUGAUUUUAUUGUAAAACUAUAGACUAUAUUCUGUUAAGAUAGCAAAGCUUUGAACUUGGCGAUUUCGAUACAUCAAAGAUUCAAAGCCUUAAAACAUGGGCACGUCUGAACUCUGAAGUGUACCAGAGUGUUGCGCAGAGCAUGUGUGGAGAAAAUGUGAGAGACUGCCGGUGGAGAUAAAAACACCUUUUGGUACACCGCUCUAUUUUGUAGUUUUGAAAUUUGUUUAUCUUGUAGUAGUGUCAAUUAACAUUAGCUAGAAGGCCUAGAACCAACCUCAUUUCCCCAAUCUUACGCUAGUAGUUUCAGUCUGAGCUAUGGCCCAAUGCAUUAUGCCAAAUUGAAAGACCCAGGCCCAUGAUCAGACCUGGAAUUGUAGUCAUCCAAUGCUAAAAUAUUUGAAAAAGAUUUCCAAAUCAAGCUUACAUAACACACAAUACAUGAAGAAGAAGUUAAAUCCAUUCAUCCAUGCCAAAAUAUUCAUGUGAAAUUGUUAAACAUUCAACAUUCUUACAGUUAUAAGUCUUACAACCUAACAACUCAAAUAUAAACGGCUAUUAACACCGAUACAUAGGAAAGAAACCCGUCUACAUCAUUGACUUGUUCGGCUUCCUCUACACGCAAAACAAUCCAACACUCACAUCCCAAAUUUAAAGGGAAAAAAACCCAAAUUAAACAAGAAACUAAGGGCUUGUUCGACACCAUUUUUUGUUUACAUUUUGCUGUAUUUUAUGAAAACUAAAAACAAAAAUAUGAAACCACAAAAACUAGUUUCUAUUUUGUUGUUGCGUGUCUUCAAAAUCAACAUGAUUGCUAUAAGUAUGCCUAUUUUUUACUUUAUCAUGCAAUCUAAAUCAUAUUACUUCCAAAAUUAUAAAAUCAAAAACUGAUCACGGAACGUGCCCUAAGUCAAUUAAUUCCAACACCCAAUAAAAGAACAAAUAAAUAAACUGUAUAAGUAUAUAUUCCUAGAACAUUUCAAGCCAAAACACAACAACCCUCAAAUUGAAAAUAGAAAGUGUUUUUUUUUUUUUUUUUGGGUGUAACUACUUGUAGGAGGAUCUGCGGAAUUUCUGAACAACCCAAGAAAUACUACCUGAAGUAGUAUCCUUUGCCUUCCUCAUUCCCUUAGAAACUGACUCCUUGGUCUUCUCCACUCCAUUCGCGGAUGCCUCCUUCGUCUUGUUGAAGCUUUCUCCGAAUUUCUUCGACAACUUCUUCGUCAUACUUUUUCCCGAUUUAACACCAUUGUUGUUGCUGUUUCCUUUGUUAUUGAGAGAAGAUGAUUGAUCUUCGUUGUUGGAAUCCCAUUGGUCCGCCCACGAGUUCGAAUAUGAACCAUGCCCUGCCAUUUUAAGUAAAUUUACAACAACAACAAAAAUAUGAAUGUAUAUGAUUCUUGCGAGAAGUUUUUGAUGAUGAAAUUAGUGUUAAAUAAGAUUGGAAAAAUGGAGGGUUUGCUUGUCAAGGGAGUAAGGGAUUGAAUAUUUGUCUUUAGCUGUCUAGACGUGGGAAGGUGUAGGCUGAAAUGUUGAAUGUAUUUUCUUACCUGUCAAAUUAAGAAAGGAGGAAAAUAAUAAUAAUUCGAUUCUAAUGUUUUUAAUUUAAACUUUAAAUAGAACACUUUUCUUAACAAAACAAAAAGUUAACAUCGUUGAUAAGAUAUUCUAGCAAAUAUUCUCAUUUAAAUUACGUAGGUAUAGUAAUAUAGUUUUUUUCGUGGAAAAAGUGAGGCAGAUAUAUUAAUGUGCAUAUCAUGAUCCGGCAAAGAUAGAAUGUUUUAGGGGGAAAUGUUCAUAAAAACUAAUUUAGAACUACCUCACAUAUCCUAUCUCGCAAUAAGAUGAGUAAUUGUAUUAUAGUUUUUUUUUUCAUGAAAAAAGUUGGUUAUUUUAUGUAUUCGUACAAACUAAUUCAGAACUAUUUUACGUAUUGUAUCUCACGAGUGUUCAAUUUAGGUGGUUAAUCGUCCCGAAACUAUGUUUUAGUUCAGUUCGGUAACCGGAAGUUCCCGUUCGGCAUUUUCAUAAAUUGUAACCGUAUUGCAUAAACAUUAUUGUUUGAAUGAUUAACCGUGUUAUACUGUUAUGAUAUGUUUUCUCAAUUAUUCAUAAACCGCUAUUCGGUUUCUUUUAAAUAUUUUUGAUCGCUUUUACUUUAUUUUUAAAUAUUAUAUUUACAAAAAUAACAUUUUGAAAUUGAAAAUCAGGUUAAGCCACAAAUAAGUCCAGACAAGGGUUAAAAUCACCCUAAGUUCAUCAAAGUUCACACAAAAUUUGAAAAACUAUGAAGCACUUACAAAUUGGAGUACUAUUGAAGUAACUUAUUGCUCUAGCACAAACAAAAAGUGAGAAAAUGGGAAAAAGGAAUGGGCCUAGAGCCCAAUUACUAGUAUUGUCUUUGUUUUGUGUAAAAAGAAGGUGAAAAAACUGUCAUGGUGGCUUUUAUAAGGAUUUUGAUGAGGGUGGAAAUGACUUUUAUCCAGGGCUUGGUUUGCUAUGGAGUAAGGCUGCCUUGUAGAGAAAUGGAAGAGAAGAAAAGGGGCACUAUGAUAUUUUCCCCGAAACUUUUAACUUAAAAACAUCAAUUCAUGUUUAACGUUAAUGUCACGGUAUCACUUAACAUCAAAGUACAAUGCUACCAUUGGUAAACAAAAAAACAGAAGCGAUAACAUCAGUAAAAGUCAAUAUCAUAGUUGUACUAUUGAGAAUUUCGCUUUAAUAAAUGGAUGAAAGUCAUAUGAGUAAUUAAAAUGGGUCAUCCAAGUCUAAGAAGAGGCGACAUUCAAUUGAAGUUAGGAAGGGCUCACUAUUUACUUCUUCUCAUAAUGUUUCACCGUUAUUUAGCAAUUAACUAAGAUCUUUGUUUCUUGAUGUAAAGAAAUAGAAAAUAAAUCAGAUUUUGGAUGCUUGAGAUGAGAUAGAGAAAAUAGAUAUUGAAAGAAGAUUACGUAGUGACUGAUAGAAAUUUGAGGACGCACGCGGAAGUUUCGAUGGACCCGAAUAAUAUAACAAAAUUGUAUUUUAUAUCUUGAUUACAUUAAUAGGAAUUGUACAACAAUAUUUGCGAGAUCCUAUGUCUCCCACUUAUAUUUUUGGUAGAACUCUUGUGUCUACCCUCACUCGUAUUUUUUGCAGGAGCUCUUUUGAUUGGCUCACCUCUCAACUUAUGCAUACAACAUAUUUAUAGUUAGUAUAUCUUAGUUUCUAGAUUUUUCUAUACUUGUCAUUUAUCUAGAUUCUUCUUAACUAGAUAUUUCUUAAGUAAAUUCUAGACAUUAUUUAGCUAUAUUUUUCUACACACUUUACUAGUAGAUUUUUGUAUAGUACAUUCUAGAUUUAGAUUUUUCUAGAUUAACAUCUUAACAGUGACACUACUAGUUAACUAGUUAUAUACAUUUGGUGGGUUGCUUUUACGUUGAAA
Spinacia oleracea (spinach) is the source of this 5232-nucleotide RNA transcript. It is a transcript of the gene named non-functional NADPH-dependent codeinone reductase 2, with no coding region annotated. The record is from RefSeq and is a predicted model, not a curated record. Lineage: Eukaryota; Viridiplantae; Streptophyta; Magnoliopsida; Caryophyllales; Amaranthaceae. The transcript is spliced from 5 exons.